RNAcentral lists this ribosomal RNA (453 nucleotides) under uncultured bacterium. RNAcentral describes it as "bacterial SSU rRNA". It matches the Rfam family "Bacterial small subunit ribosomal RNA", at positions 8 to 507 of the family's 1533-position model. The record is from RNAcentral.
AGAGUUUGAUCAUGGCUCAGAACGAACGCUGGCGGCAUGCCUAACACAUGCAAGUCGAACGAAGCCUUCGGGCUUAGUGGCGCACGGGUGCGUAACACGUGGGAAUCUGCCCUUCGGUUCGGAAUAACAGUUAGAAAUGACUGCUAAUACCGGAUGAUGACGUAAGUCCAAAGAUUUAUCGCCGAAGGAUGAGCCCGCGUAGGAUUAGGUAGUUGGUAGGGUAAUGGCCUACCAAGCCGACGAUCCUUAGCUGGUCUGAGAGGAUGAUCAGCCACACUGGGACUGAGACACGGCCCAGACUCCUACGGGAGGCAGCAGUGGGGAAUAUUGGACAAUGGGCGAAAGCCUGAUCCAGCAAUGCCGCGUGAGUGAUGAAGGCCUUAGGGUUGUAAAGCUCUUUUACCAGGGAUGAUAAUGACAGUACCUGGAGAAUACGCUCCGGCUAACUCCGUG